Molecule: non-coding RNA, 74 nt
Organism: Ovis aries (sheep)
Lineage: Eukaryota; Metazoa; Chordata; Mammalia; Artiodactyla; Bovidae
Source: Rfam
UUCCCUGGCAGUCCUGUGGUUAGGAUUUGGCACUUUCACUGCCAUGGGCCUGGGUUCAAUCCCUGGUUGAGAAA